RNAcentral lists this ribosomal RNA (594 nucleotides) under uncultured bacterium. RNAcentral's name for it is "bacterial SSU rRNA". It matches the Rfam family "Bacterial small subunit ribosomal RNA", at positions 61 to 650 of the family's 1533-position model. The record is from RNAcentral.
GUCGAGCGGUAGAGAGGUGCUUGCACCUCUUGAGAGCGGCGGACGGCUGAGUAAAGCCUAGGAAUCUGCCUGGUAGUGGGGGAUAACGCUCGGAAACGGACGCUAAUACCGCAUACGUCCUACGGGAGAAAGCAGGGGACCUUCGGGCCUUGCGCUAUCAGAUGAGCCUAGGUCGGAUUAGCUAGUUGGUGAGGUAAUGGCUCACCAAGGCGACGAUCCGUAACUGGUCUGAGAGGAUGAUCAGUCACACUGGAACUGAGACACGGUCCAGACUCCUACGGGAGGCAGCAGUGGGGAAUAUUGGACAAUGGGCGAAAGCCUGAUCCAGCCAUGCCGCGUGUGUGAAGAAGGUCUUCGGAUUGUAAAGCACUUUAAGUUGGGAGGAAGGGCAUUAACCUAAUACGUUAGUGUUUUGACGUUACCGACAGAAUAAGCACCGGCUAACUCUGUGCCAGCAGCCGCGGUAAUACAGAGGGUGCAAGCGUUAAUCGGAAUUACUGGGCGUAAAGCGCGCGUAGGUGGUUCGUUAAGUUGGAUGUGAAAUCCCCGGGCUCAACCUGGGAACUGCAUUCAAAACUGUCGAGCUAGAGUAUG